GUGGGGAAUAUUGGACAAUGGGCGAAAGCCUGAUCCAGCCAUGCCGCGUGUGUGAAGAAGGUCUUCGGAUUGUAAAGCACUUUAAGUUGGGAGGAAGGGCAGUAAGUUAAUACCUUGCUGUUUUGACGUUACCGACAGAAUAAGCACCGGCUAACUUCGUGCCAGCAGCCGCGGUAAUACGAAGGGUGCAAGCGUUAAUCGGAAUUACUGGGCGUAAAGCGCGCGUAGGUGGUUUUGUAAGUUGGAGGUGAAAUCCCCGGGCUCAACCUGGGAACUGCAUCCAAAACUGGCGAGCUAGAGUACGGUAGAGGGUGGUGGAAUUUCCUGUGUAGCGGUGAAAUGCGUAGAUAUAGGAAGGAACACCAGUGGCGAAGGCGACCACCUGGACUGAUACUGACACUGAGGUGCGAAAGCGUGGGGAGCAAACAGGAUUAGAUACCCGAGUAGUCC
Molecule: ribosomal RNA, 450 nt
Filed under: uncultured bacterium
Lineage: Bacteria
Description: partial 16S ribosomal RNA
Rfam family: Bacterial small subunit ribosomal RNA
Source: RNAcentral